Molecule: transfer RNA, 90 nt
Filed under: Pseudomonas sp.
Lineage: Bacteria; Pseudomonadati; Pseudomonadota; Gammaproteobacteria; Pseudomonadales; Pseudomonadaceae
Also listed under: 1 other name
Description: tRNA-Ser
Rfam family: tRNA
About the family: Transfer RNA (tRNA) molecules are approximately 80 nucleotides in length. Their secondary structure includes four short double-helical elements and three loops (D, anti-codon, and T loops).
Source: RNAcentral
GGGGAGAUGCCGGAGUGGUCGAACGGGACGGAUUCGAAAUCCGUUGUAUUCGCAAGAGUACCUAGGGUUCGAAUCCCUAUCUCCCCGCCA